UGCUUGAAACAAUGCAGUGCCAGUAAUAUUAACGAUUAACGUGUAACAUCAACACAUACCUAGCUCUGUGUGUGUCAAAACUGUAAUGACUCCUACCAGGCGCGCAGUGCAGGCUGCACUGCCUGCUUCUUCUUAUCCUUUUGACCUGAAGGACUUAAAAUUACUACAAAAGUAAUGUACCUAUCUAUGGAAUGGAACUACAGAAGUACACUGAAGGAAGGCCUCCACAGCAAGGUGAUAAAUCUUUGACUUUGACAUUUGCAAGUAGUCCUAAUAGCCACUGCAUCCUGAAUUGUAAUUAUGAGUCACCAAUAACAAAAAAGACGUCUGUGACAUGGAUCCCUAAUGUUCUCUCAGAUGGUGACGAAUAAAGAAAGAAGAACCCAGGAGUAUAAAAAAAUACUUACAUACAUACCUACCAUUGUGGUGAUGUACAUACAUACAUAGUCACACCACCAUAACAGGAUGGACUGAGCCGAGCACUACCAAGAAGACCAACUGCAGCCUCUUGUGAUGGACAUAAUGACCAGAGUGGUGACAGA
Molecule: long non-coding RNA, 542 nt
Organism: Pectinophora gossypiella (pink bollworm)
Lineage: Eukaryota; Metazoa; Arthropoda; Insecta; Lepidoptera; Gelechiidae
Exons: 3
Source: RefSeq, a predicted model, not a curated record